AUAAUUUUAGUUUAAUAAAAAAUAUUAAUUUGUCAGGUUAAAGAUGCAAAAAUUUGCAAGUUGUA
This 65-nucleotide transfer RNA is filed under the name Lepidotrema longipenis. RNAcentral describes it as "tRNA-Asp". The record is from RNAcentral. Lineage: Eukaryota; Metazoa; Platyhelminthes; Monogenea; Dactylogyridea; Diplectanidae.